RNAcentral lists this ribosomal RNA (253 nucleotides) under uncultured bacterium. RNAcentral describes it as "partial 16S ribosomal RNA". It matches the Rfam family "Bacterial small subunit ribosomal RNA", at positions 524 to 776 of the family's 1533-position model. The record is from RNAcentral.
UACGUAGGGGGCAAGCGUUGUCCGGAUUUAUUGGGCUUAAAGGGUGCGUAGGCGGUCUUUUAAGUCAGUGCUGAAAUAUCCCGGCUUAACCGGGAGGGUGGCAUUGAUACUGAAGGACUUGAGUAAAGUUGAGGUAGGCGGAAUUGACGGUGUAGCGGUGAAAUGCUUAGAUAUCGUCAAGAACACCGAUAGUGUAGACAGCUUACUAAGCUUUAACUGACGCUGAGGCACGAAAGUGUGGGGAUCAAACAGG